GCAGGGGUUCCCGAGUGGCCAAAGGGGUCAGGUUCAGGACCUGAUGGUUAGUCCUCCGUGGGUUCGAACCCCACCCCCUGCACCA
RNAcentral lists this transfer RNA (85 nucleotides) under Candidatus Bathyarchaeota archaeon RBG_13_52_12. RNAcentral describes it as "tRNA-Leu". It matches the Rfam family "tRNA". Rfam says of the family: Transfer RNA (tRNA) molecules are approximately 80 nucleotides in length. Their secondary structure includes four short double-helical elements and three loops (D, anti-codon, and T loops). RNAcentral also lists the same sequence under 2 other names. The record is from RNAcentral. Lineage: Archaea; Thermoproteati; Candidatus Bathyarchaeota.